AGACGUAGGGGGCGAGCGUUGUCCGGAAUCAUUGGGCGUAAAGGGCGCGUAGGCGGUGACGUAAGUCAGGCGUGAAAGGCAUCGGCUCAACCGACGCACAUAGCCUGAUACUACGUUGCUAGAGUGCAGGAGAGGAGAGUGGAAUUCCAGGUGUAGCGGUGAAAUGCGUAGAUAUCUGGAAGAACACCAGUGGCGAAGGCGGCUCUCUGGACUGUAACUGACGCUGAGGCGCGAAAGCUGGGGGAGCAAACAGGAUUAGAUACCCUGGUAGUCCCAGCUGUAAACGAUGAGCACUAGGUGUAGGGGGUAUCGACCCCUCCUGUGCCGCAGUUAACGCAGUAAGUGUUCCGCCUGGGGAGUACGGCCGCAAGGCUGAA
Molecule: ribosomal RNA, 377 nt
Filed under: uncultured bacterium
Lineage: Bacteria
Description: bacterial SSU rRNA
Rfam family: Bacterial small subunit ribosomal RNA
Source: RNAcentral